Molecule: long non-coding RNA, 1853 nt
Filed under: Homo sapiens (human)
Lineage: Eukaryota; Metazoa; Chordata; Mammalia; Primates; Hominidae
Description: HSALNT0378972
Source: RNAcentral
GCACACUUAUUAAAAAUCCACAGUAAAUAUUUGUCGAUCUUUGCUUUGUGAUUUUCUGGAUUAAUCUUAUUUGGAAAUCCACAGUCUCCCACUGAAAAAGCAAUCCGAAAACAAAGGACCUGGUGUCAGUUAGGAAUUUUAAGCAAUAGAGGUUGGACCAUUGCGGUUUAGACAAAUAAGGUAUUAUCUUUUCACUUAACAAGACAUUUUAGAAGGAGGCAGCUGCUAGCUAGCAUGGGCUCAGCAGCUUCAAAAUGUCAGGCUCAGGAUGCUUAUACUUUUUGGGGUUUUUUCCUCAUAGUGCCAAGAUGGCUGCUGCAUCUCCAGCUAUUGGGUCCGUUAUGAGCAGCAAGGCUUAAAGGAUGUAGCUCCCCGCUGAGUCAACUCCCUUUAAAGAACUUUCCAGAAAACUCCAUCCAACUUUUGCUACCUACAUGUCACAGGCUGCCCCAACUGCAAGGAAAAACAGAUUUUGAAUAUUUAUUAGCAGUCUCUGCCACAGACCUCCACGAUCCUUCUUUUCUCUUUUUUUCCAGUGAUGCAGAAUAAAGUGGCAAAUUGAACCCCACUUUUGUUUCUUGCUAAUUGUUCUCAUAAAACGCCCUUUUCACUCCAAGCCCAAGGCAGCUCAUUUUAGAAUGUCCAGAAAAAGAAAAAAAAGGAAACAUGGAAAAUUCUGAGUCACAGAAUAUUUCCUAUAUCACAGCAGAAAAAAAUUGGACUCUUCUAAAAUAAUGGUACUGGGAAGACUUUGUGUUUUUCCCAAUUUGCUAUAGUUUUGAGUUGUUAAAAGUCACUUUCAAUUUUUAGAGUACUAGAAGAGUUUCAAUCAAGCCAUUUUAAGUAAGACCCAUUCAUGACAGAGUUUAUUUCCAUUCUGUAUUGUCCUUUUCUUUUUGUAAAUACCACAGAACUUGAGUGUUUGCUUUUUCAUUUGUUAGUUUAUUUAUUUAUUCUAGGGUUCCAUUCAACAGCCAGACAGCUGGGUUAUGGAAAUGCCAAUUAUGAAUUCCCCACAGAUCUGAGCACUGAAUUUUCCACAAAACUGUUUGAUUUUUUUUUUCUCUCAGCAAGGCAAGCUAACUAAAUUUUAAGCAAACUUUAGACAAAGAACUCAAUAAUACCUUUUGCCAUGAUGCGUUAUGGAAAUCAGGAGGACAUUUUUUUUCUCCAAAAGAAAUCAUAUUUUUGAAUCUAAUGUUAUACUGCACAAGAGGCAAUAGAAGUUUUUCUAUGUGGUAAGUGACAUAAUUACUUUCAACUAAGCUUUGUAAAGCACUUUACAGUUUACGGAGCACAUUCAUAUGCAUUAUCUCAUGCUUGGAUGCUAUUUCAGAAGUCAUUACAGAGAGGGCCACUAUGUGGGGCUUGAGAGGCUGUUUGGCCACGUGCCAGUGCCCUCUGACAUUUAUUUCUGUCUUUCCUGAUGACUUGCCGACCCCCACCCCAGCCCUAAUAAUUUGACAAAAUUACUGAUUAUUUCAGCAUCAGGUAGAUACUAUGAGCUUCCUUUAUAUGGAGAUUUCCUUUACAAGCUCUUCUCAGCAAGGAGUUAUUUGAAAACAUUUAUUUUAUUUAUCUAUUCAGUAAACACUGAGUGUUAUUUGGUGCUAAACAUUGUGUUUAAAUGCUUAGUUACAUUUGGCCAUUCAACAACCCAAUGCCUCAUCUCAUUUGGCCAAACAACCCUACAAAGAAGAGACUAUUGUGAUCCACAGUUUAUAGCUGGGGAAACUGAGAACCAGAGAGACGAAGGGUAGCAAGACUACAAGCACCUAACCCUUACUCCCUGCCGGUCCCCUAAUUGUAAAGUGCUUAAGUCAAUAAAAGCAAAGUUUUGUUUUGUGAGACUG